AGAUGUGAGGAUGAUUUAUCUGGGACAUGUCACCCUAUUGAUUGCCAUGGUUGAUUCUGCUCAUCUGGCUGGCUAGGUGGGCGUCCAUCCUUACAUGCUCCAUGUGUGUCCCUCCUGAAGCUGCGUGCUCAGUUAAAGAGGAUGAGUACCUCUGAAAGAGGAGGACUGUCCCUCCAUCAAGGGUAUAGAGUAGCUGCACUCCCCUGCGAGAACUUCCAAACAAGCUCUCAAGGAAACCAAGGCAGUUGGAUCAUGAGGCCAGCCAGCUUGGAUGAUAUAGUAAGAUACUGACUCAAAACAAACAAACAAGCAAACCUAAGCAGCAUGGAGAAUGUUU
This 337-nucleotide small nuclear RNA is filed under the name Octodon degus (degu). Its description in RNAcentral is "7SK RNA (ENSODEG00000024091.1)". The stretch from base 1 to 301 matches the Rfam family "7SK RNA". From Rfam's summary of the family: 7SK was discovered as an abundant small nuclear RNA in the mid-70s but a possible function has only recently been suggested. Two independent studies have found that 7SK RNA binds the CDK9/cyclin T complex (known as elongation factor P-TEFb). The record is from RNAcentral. Lineage: Eukaryota; Metazoa; Chordata; Mammalia; Rodentia; Octodontidae.